Artibeus jamaicensis (Jamaican fruit-eating bat) is the source of this 104-nucleotide small nuclear RNA. Lineage: Eukaryota; Metazoa; Chordata; Mammalia; Chiroptera; Phyllostomidae. The record is from RefSeq and is a predicted model, not a curated record.
GUGCUCACUUCCACAGAACACAGACUAAAAUUGGAAUGAUGUAAAGAUUAGCAUGGCCCCUGUGCAAGGAUGACAUGCAAAUUUCUGAAGCACUCCAUAUAUUU